GACAGAGGGUGCAAACGUUGUUCGGAAUUACUGGGCGUAAAGCGCGUGUAGGCAGCUUGGCAAGUCGGGUGUGAAAGCCCUGGGCUCAACCUAGGAAGUGCACUCGAAACUGCUUCGCUUGAGUAUCGGAGAGGAAAGCGGAAUUCUCGGUGUAGAGGUGAAAUUCGUAGAUAUCGAGAGGAACACCAGUGGCGAAGGCGGCUUUCUGGACGAUCACUGACGCUGAGACGCGAAAGCGUGGGGAGCAAACAGG
Molecule: ribosomal RNA, 253 nt
Filed under: uncultured bacterium
Lineage: Bacteria
Also listed under: 1 other name
Description: partial 16S ribosomal RNA
Rfam family: Bacterial small subunit ribosomal RNA
Source: RNAcentral